GUAGUUGUAGCUUACCACUAAAGCAUAGCAUUGAAAAUGCUAAAACGAGCCCCGAACUCCAAAUACA
RNAcentral lists this transfer RNA (67 nucleotides) under Pseudocalotes microlepis (Burmese false bloodsucker). RNAcentral's name for it is "tRNA-Phe". It matches the Rfam family "tRNA". Rfam says of the family: Transfer RNA (tRNA) molecules are approximately 80 nucleotides in length. Their secondary structure includes four short double-helical elements and three loops (D, anti-codon, and T loops). Further hydrogen bonds mediate the characteristic L-shaped molecular structure. tRNAs have two regions of fundamental functional importance: the anti-codon, which is responsible for specific mRNA codon recognition, and the 3' end, to which the tRNAs corresponding amino acid is attached (by aminoacyl-tRNA synthetases). tRNAs cope with the degeneracy of the genetic code in two manners: having more than one tRNA (with a specific anti-codon) for a particular amino acid; and 'wobble' base-pairing, i.e. permitting non-standard base-pairing at the 3rd anti-codon position. The record is from RNAcentral. Lineage: Eukaryota; Metazoa; Chordata; Lepidosauria; Squamata; Agamidae.